Molecule: non-coding RNA, 47 nt
Filed under: Trichobilharzia regenti
Lineage: Eukaryota; Metazoa; Platyhelminthes; Trematoda; Strigeidida; Schistosomatidae
Source: RNAcentral
GCCUUGCUGAAAAGUCCCAAACUUAGGACGAAACAGCUGUCCAAUAC